This 132-nucleotide small RNA is filed under the name Salmonella enterica. RNAcentral's name for it is "RtT sRNA". It matches the Rfam family "RtT RNA". Rfam says of the family: This family represents a bacterial cis-regulatory element known as RtT RNA. The exact function of RtT is unknown although it is thought that it may be involved in changing the cellular response in relation to amino acid starvation. RNAcentral also lists the same sequence under 2 other names. The record is from RNAcentral. Lineage: Bacteria; Pseudomonadati; Pseudomonadota; Gammaproteobacteria; Enterobacterales; Enterobacteriaceae.
AUUCUAUCCAUGUGGGGAAGGAUGAGAAGCUUCGACUAAGGUUCGAUUCGAGCGAAAGCGAGAAAGCGUUGCCGCAGGCAACGACCCGAAGGGCGAAACGCGCAGCGCUGAGUCAUCCUUCCCCCACCACCA